UUUACCUAAUAAUUCCAAUCCCCCCCCCCCCCCGCCUCCUCCUCCUGCUUCCUCACCUUCACCUUACCUCCGUCUUCUCCUCAUAGAGGAUAAGGCCUCCAUGGGGAGUCAACAAAGUCUGACACAUCACAUUGAGGCAGGACAAAGGCCCUUCCCCUGUAUCUAGGCCAAGCAAGGAAUCCCUCCAUGGGGAAUAGGCUCCAAAGAGCCAGUUCACUCACUAGGAAUAGAUCCUAGUCCUGCUGCCAGUGGCCCCACAAACUGCUGAACCAUACAACUGCCGCCUGCAUUUAGAGGGCCUAGUUUGGUCCUAUGCAGGUUCACCUGCUGUCAGUCCAGAGUCAGUGAGCUCCCACUAGCUCUGGCCAGUUGUUUCUGUGGGUUUCCCCAUAAUGAUCUGGAUGUAGGUUCCAUUUAUCUCAACCAUCCCAUUCCCUAAAGUUCUUCUUGCCAACCUACUUCUGCCCUCUUCCUUUCUUUCUAUCACCCCUCAUGCUCCCAAUUUACUAAAGAGAUCUUAUCUAUUUCCUCUUUCCAGGGGGAUCCAUAUAUAUCUCUCUUAGGGUCCUCUUUGUUAUAUAGCUUUUCUGUGGUUGUGGAUUGUGUUCUGGUUAUCUUUUGCUUUAUGUCUAAUAUCCACACAGACCUCAAACACACUUUCCCAUUCCUUCUGCUUUUUUUUAUGGAUUCUUUUUCCCAGCAGCAACUUUUGCUUAGGAGCCAAACAGAGAUAAAAUGAGGUCCAAAUGACAACCUUGGAGAACCCGGUCACAACUGGUGGCUCAGAGAAUAUUAAGCAAGAAAAAAUGGAAAGAAUGUAAGAGCCAGAGGAAGGAGUAUAGUAUUGUAUACCUAUUUCUUCUGAAUGGAAAUACUCCGUUAAAGCAUAAGAAGUCAACACAACACAGAAGUCCCAGGAAGCUUCCUAAAACUUAAAAAGGUUCACAGUGGCAUUCUCCAAGACUGUGAAAGCUGGAACAACUACAAGGGAGAAGAGACUGACCAACUCACCUGCCUAGAAGUUAAAAUCCAAAGCUCCAAAUUUCAUUAACCGUCACCCAGUUUGGGAUGGGCUUUUUGGUGAUUCAAAUAACUUUGGGUCACCCAUGCCCACUAAGUCACCCCUGUUAUACUUCUGUAAGUAACCCGAAUAAACUUACUGCUUCACUGA
Molecule: non-coding RNA, 1171 nt
Organism: Myodes glareolus (Bank vole)
Lineage: Eukaryota; Metazoa; Chordata; Mammalia; Rodentia; Cricetidae
Source: RefSeq, a predicted model, not a curated record